This 1580-nucleotide long non-coding RNA is filed under the name Homo sapiens (human). RNAcentral describes it as "HSALNT0313175". The record is from RNAcentral. Lineage: Eukaryota; Metazoa; Chordata; Mammalia; Primates; Hominidae.
GUUUAAUGAUAUGAAUAAUUUAUCUUGAAUGAUUUAACUAUAUUUCCACAGAAAUUUGUAUAGUAACGAACCCAAUACUUUGGACAAAUCCAUUCUCUCUUUUCAAAAAUGUGGAUUAUCAGUGGGUAUGUUUUACUUUACUAACUUGUGGCAUCCAUUUGUUGCCCUCCUAUAAAAGAUUUUCUAGUUAGGAUCUACAAUAUCACUUACCUAAGGGGUACUUGGUACAGGCAAGAGAAAAUGAUUAGUAAUACCUUCCCACAGUAACAUUAAAUACAAUGUGCCUUGAAAGCAUAAAAGGGGCUUUCUGCCUCUAGGCCUAUAAACAUAAUUAAUCCAAACCAUCUCUUCUCACUAUGUUUUUUGUUUUUCUUUUUGAGAACAGAGUCUUGCUCUGUCGCCCAGGCUGGAGUGCAGCGGCAUAAUCUUGGCUCAUUGCAGCCUAUGCCUCCUGGGUUCAAAUGAUUCUCAUGACUUGGCGUCCUGAAUAGCUGGGAUUACAGGUGUGUGCCACCAUGCCCAGAGAAUUUAUUUUGUAUAUUUAGUAGAGACGAGGUUUCGCCAUGUUGGCCAGGCUGGUCUUGAACUCCUGACCUCGUGAUCUACCCGCCUCAGCCUCCCAAGGUGCUCUCUACUAAAAACACAAAAAAUCAGCCAGGUGUGGUGGUGAGUGCCUGUAAUCCUAGUUACUUGGGAGGCUGAGGCAGGAGAAUCGCUUGAACCCAGGAGGCAGAGGUUGCAGUGAGGUGAGAUCACGCCACUGCAUUCCAGCCUGGGUAACAGAGUGAGACUGUCUCAAAAAAUAAAAAUAAAAAAAAUAAAAAAUAAAAACACCCUUUCCUUGGCUUCUGUAACAAUGCUUUUUACUGGUUAUUCUCCCAAUUCUCCCACCUUUUGUUCUGUCCCUUUCCUGCUACUCCCCAUUUAGAAGAUAUAGAUACCCAGGCAGGCACAGUGCCUCACAUGUGCAAUCUCAACACUUUGGGAAGCUGAGUCAGGAGGGCUGCUUGAGACCAGGAGUUCCAGGCCAGCCUGGUCAACACAGCAAGUCCCCCAUCUCUAAAAAAAUUUUUUUUUAAAUUAGCAGACAACCAGAAUUUUGUUGUCAAUGACUUUUCCUUCUCUGGUCGAUUUCAUUCAUUCCUAGUUUUAACUACCUAAUCCUAUGUCUACCCCUAAAUGGGCUAUCAUCUGCCUACUGGGCAGCUCCACUUAGGAGCUCCCCUAGGUACUUUAGUUUCACAGUGUUCAUAAGUACUCAAACCAGAAAAUCUUUUCUUCAACUUGUAAGGUCCUGUUGAUUAGACACCUAUUAAGUAAACUUAAUUCUCCCUCUGCCUUUUCAAUCAUGCUAUCACAUUACCAACUUAAGGUCCUUAGCAUUACCUGCCUGGACUACUGUCAGAAAUACAUCACCUAGCCGGGCACAGGGGCUCAUGCUUGUAAUCCCAGCACUUUGGGAGGCUAAGGCAAGUGGAUCACUUGAGGUCAGGAGUUUGAGACCAGCCUGGCCAACAUGGUGAAAUCCUGGCUCUACUAAAACUACAAAAAUUAGCCAGACGUGGUGGCGUGCACCUGUG